GUAACGGCUCACCAAGGCGACGAUCCCUAGCUGGUCUGAGAGGAUGACCAGCCACACUGGAACUGAGACACGGUCCAGACUCCUACGGGAGGCAGCAGUGGGGAAUAUUGCACAAUGGGCGCAAGCCUGAUGCAGCCAUGCCGCGUGUAUGAAGAAGGCCUUCGGGUUGUAAAGUACUUUCAGCGGGGAGGAAGGGAGUAAAGUUAAUACCUUUGCUCAUUGACGUUACCCGCAGAAGAAGCACCGGCUAACUCCGUGCCAGCAGCCGCGGUAAUACGGAGGGUGCAAGCGUUAAUCGGAAUUACUGGGCGUAAAGCGCACGCAGGCGGUUUGUUAAGUCAGAUGUGAAAUCCCCGGGCUCAACCUGGGAACUGCAUCUGAUACUGGCAAGCUUGAGUCUCGUAGAGGGGGGUAGAAUUCCAGGUGUAGCGGUGAAAUGCGUAGAGAUCUGGAGGAAUACCGGUGGCGAAGGCGGCCCCCUGGACGAAGACUGACGCUCAGGUGCG
This 506-nucleotide ribosomal RNA is filed under the name Escherichia coli. RNAcentral's name for it is "bacterial SSU rRNA". It matches the Rfam family "Bacterial small subunit ribosomal RNA", at positions 257 to 755 of the family's 1533-position model. Lineage: Bacteria; Pseudomonadati; Pseudomonadota; Gammaproteobacteria; Enterobacterales; Enterobacteriaceae. The record is from RNAcentral.